UCCCCUCCCCUCUAGGUCCCCUCCCCUCUGCGCAUGACAGGUGGUGAGACAGCUGCACACUCCGCUGGGGACGGUAGUUCGGCGGUGUAUAACGGUGUAAGAGCCCGCGCACCUCCCCUGCGCAACGCCGCGAUGAAUGCCAGCGCGCCGCGGAGAAGAAGGCUCGGGCUGCGAAACGGGAGCGGCGGCGUGCCGAUCCCGAACUUCGGGCUCGCGAAGCCGAAAGGAAACGGCGGCUAGCGGACCCCAUUCUCCGAGCUCGGGAAGCCGAAUUGAAGCGUCAACGUCGAGUAGCAGAUCUCGUAGCGGCAACGCGAAGCCGAAGCGAAACGUAAACAACGAGCAGCGAAUCUCGAAGCGGCGCGGCAAUGCGAGUCGGCGGCGAAGGCAGCGCAGUUCAAGCGCGAGUUCCUGGAUAGGAGCUUCGGGCACAUCUGCAAGGUAUGCGACCCACUGUGGUUGUACAACAACCUGACCAAGGCCGCAGUAGCAUCAACGACAAACAGCACCGUCACGUGUCAUCGGUGUGCUCCAUGCUCCAACAAGAUCGAGUUCGGGCAGAGUGCAGCAACUACAGUGAUAUCCGCACCGUUGUUUAUCAGCAAAGUUGUCCUCCAUGCCAAAUAGACCUUUUCAUGCUAGCCACCCUAUCCAUGCUGCGCAGCUGGUGUGACGUCGGCAUAGUUGUCGCUUAGCAACCAUGUAAGUCUACGUCUAGCUCCAGAUGUUCUCUGUAGGGGCGCGCCAGCGCUUGCUCGGCCGUGUUCAGGCAACACCACCUGGCUACGGUUCAGACAUUCAAAAGCAACGGGUCGGUCGUGCAAAGUUCGCACAGCCGAAGAGGAGGCCGUUUACCUCGAAGCUAGGCGUGCUGCGGCCCGAGAAAGUAACCGUAAACGGCGAUCGGAUCCCGACUAUGCUCGACGGGUACGCGAAGCGAGCGCGGCGAGGAAGCAAGCCAAGCGAAGUGUGCCAGGUGUGAGUCGAGCCGAGCACAAUUAUGUGACGAAAGGCCCGCCCUUCUACCCUGAGGGGCCACAUCCAGCGCAACCAGUACACAUCGUGUGAGAAAACCGUGUCCAAAUCAACAGAGGCUAAUAUAGUCCCCAAGAUACACCAUGUAUCGACGCAAAUUGAGAAACGAAUUCAAGGUUUCUACAACGCCUGCCCACCAGCGAAUGUGCCACAGCCAAUCAAAGAGUGCCAACCUCAGCAGAAGCAGUUUCCAGAGAGAGGUUACAAAGCAGCAUCCUCUGUAUUGUAGAGGACCAAGAAUAGCGACUCCAGGAACCUGUGAAAGUCGUGGAAGGUGCCAGUGCAUAUGCAAAAGAGGCUGCUGACAAAACCACAUGGUGUGCAGGCAUCUAUCAGACCAACAUGUACUCUCCAACGGUCUCCUGUUGGAUGCAAUCCCACGAUCUCGAAGACAGCGACAAUAUUUCUUGAUCGUCGGAACCGCUGUCCCAAGGUCAACGCCUCUAGUCUUGGAAUAUCCAACACGGACCAGCAGUCGAAUGGAGGAAUAUUGAAAUGGUGAUGGCAUCACAGAUGGUGAUGAUGAGUGCAGACUGACAGCAAGCUCACCUUUAAUGAAGAAGGAGAGAAAAAGGCCCUGCCACAGUCAAUCGAGAGCCCGCACUUGUCAUCGUCAGUGAUAGCGCACUGUGCUCAUGGAGGUUUCAAGAUCUGGAGGCUUUGAACUUAUGACAGUGCUGUGACCUUUCCAAUGCAACCUGUGCCUACAGACGAUUGUAUAUUGAAAUAGUCUUCUCGCGUUUUACAUUGACACAGCCUAAGGAAAAGUGCCGAUUCUGCGAGCACACACUUGCUUGCAAUGGUCCUUUUCAGCAAAUAAUUAGCAAAUAAAUGAGUCGGAAGCUCGCAUCUAUCGGUAGAUUGCAUGGUGUUGUGUCAGAUUUCUUGCUCUAUUUUCGAUAAAAUUAAUUUUGCCAUUCUUUCAACCCGCAAUCCUGCCUUGCAAUCCUUUCAUCCCUCUUGACUAGCCUCAGCUGGUCUCCGAGUGCAGGACUGGACUGCACUGCCUUUCACAUAAAUCUGCUGAUAAUCUCUUCCUGCCCUUCGGUGCUAGCUGUGCAUUCCCAUGUGCUGUGGUUCGGUGUCAGUGUGCUCUCACUCCGCCGGCAUAUGUAUUCGUAUUCUGUUGGGUAAUACGUAUGUAAUCUGUGGAUGUUUGUGUGUCUGUAUGGUGCCAACGCCGCAGAAUCCACGGCCGAAAGGUACUUGUGUGGUACUGGGUGGAGCCUCAGCUAUUCUCAGUAAUAUUGCAGGAUCGCCUUUUAACUGUGAUCGAUGGUCGUUAGGUUCUCCACGGUGUUAGACUGAAGCGUGCAGAACUUUAGCAUUGAGAAGCCGAAGCUAGAUCGCAUUCAUUGCUUCGCCUCUUUGGCGAAACUGUGACUUUUUUUCUCGAAUACUAACCACCUACGAUAUAUUUUAGCAGUCCAUUGUACAAUUUUAUGUGCGGUACUUCUUGUAGGAAGUUUUAUUAUGCAGAAGCGAUACACUCAAACCCCGAUAUAACAAUCCAGGAUAUAACAAAUUAUAGGUUAUAAGGAAGUAGAUGAAAAAUAGUCUUGCCAUAGAUAUAGUGUUAGGAAUAAACCUGCAUAACGAAUGUUUAGAUAUAACAAAUUUAUUUUUGUAUAAGAUGCAACUUUGUUAUAAUGAGGUCUGGGGUAUGAGACAAGGGGGCAUUAGAUUUAUGCGGCAUGCAUAAAACAUGACGAGUUAAGCUAUUAAUUCAUCCACUUUUCUCUUGUGGUUACAGGCACCGUCACAUAAAAGCACAGCCUCAUGUGAUGCACCAGAAUGCCUUUAAAGUGCCUGCUGUGAUAACGUGAUUUUUUGAUAUUGAGGUUCUCCCCACCACAAACAUAGGCUCCAUAAAAACCACCCACCACCACUUGGCCAAUGCGGUGGGCGCACUGUGAGAAACGAGCCGUUUUAAUGGUCAACUAAGGUCAACACAUCCUUUGUUUUGUAAAAUGGUGGCUAACUUCAGAGGAAUACCUUCGAGCUUUCCAAACUCUGUAUAUUUACAAAUCACCCCAUGCCCCAUAGAAACGAGGAAAAAGGCAAGGGCAAGAGAUUUUUGGCUCACGCGCCUGUCAUCUUUGUAGAGGAAGCAUUGACUUAGAUUUAGGUGCAUAUGUGAAAGGACCACAUGUGGCAGAAAUUUCUGUACCCUUUCAUUCCGACGUCCCUCAUGAUUAUCUGGUUUUCGGACAUCAAACCCCAACAAUCAUAUUGUAUACUUGACUUAAUUGGUUGUGUCUGACAAGGUGCAUUGCAGUAUUUUCAGUCACCCUGUAGAUGCUGAUGCCUCCUUACUUUCAAUGGAUAGGGUUCAGGCAUACUUGUUCCCAGUUCAACUAGUGAAAUAGGGCUUUAAUGAUUAUUACGUUCUUGGAUGCUUUAUAUCAUGCUGCGAUCAGGUUGUAUUGCUGGCACAAUCAACUGCAGUUUUUCAAGGGAACCGUUUUGUGCAGCGUGACCAGUCUACAUUUUGUGAGAAGGGCAUGUCCAAAGCAACAAACGCUAACAUGACAUCGAUAGUUGGAUGGAAAUAUGUCUGAUCAAGAACAGACAAAGACAAAACAAGACAUUUCGGCCCCUGUACGGAAAGCUUGUUCACAGCGAAGAAAAAAUAAAACGAAAAGUUGGCCCCG
Unclassified non-coding RNA from Rhipicephalus microplus (southern cattle tick), 3689 nucleotides. The record is from RefSeq and is a predicted model, not a curated record. NCBI's taxonomy places the organism in Eukaryota, Metazoa, Arthropoda, Arachnida, Ixodida, Ixodidae.